RNAcentral lists this ribosomal RNA (1417 nucleotides) under Salmonella enterica. RNAcentral's name for it is "partial 16S ribosomal RNA". It matches the Rfam family "Bacterial small subunit ribosomal RNA". RNAcentral also lists the same sequence under 4 other names. The record is from RNAcentral. Lineage: Bacteria; Pseudomonadati; Pseudomonadota; Gammaproteobacteria; Enterobacterales; Enterobacteriaceae.
GAGUAAUGUCUGGGAAACUGCCUGAUGGAGGGGGAUAACUACUGGAAACGGUGGCUAAUACCGCAUAACGUCGCAAGACCAAAGAGGGGGACCUUCGGGCCUCUUGCCAUCAGAUGUGCCCAGAUGGGAUUAGCUUGUUGGUGAGGUAACGGCUCACCAAGGCGACGAUCCCUAGCUGGUCUGAGAGGAUGACCAGCCACACUGGAACUGAGACACGGUCCAGACUCCUACGGGAGGCAGCAGUGGGGAAUAUUGCACAAUGGGCGCAAGCCUGAUGCAGCCAUGCCGCGUGUAUGAAGAAGGCCUUCGGGUUGUAAAGUACUUUCAGCGGGGAGGAAGGUGUUGUGGUUAAUAACCGCAGCAAUUGACGUUACCCGCAGAAGAAGCACCGGCUAACUCCGUGCCAGCAGCCGCGGUAAUACGGAGGGUGCAAGCGUUAAUCGGAAUUACUGGGCGUAAAGCGCACGCAGGCGGUCUGUCAAGUCGGAUGUGAAAUCCCCGGGCUCAACCUGGGAACUGCAUUCGAAACUGGCAGGCUUGAGUCUUGUAGAGGGGGGUAGAAUUCCAGGUGUAGCGGUGAAAUGCGUAGAGAUCUGGAGGAAUACCGGUGGCGAAGGCGGCCCCCUGGACAAAGACUGACGCUCAGGUGCGAAAGCGUGGGGAGCAAACAGGAUUAGAUACCCUGGUAGUCCACGCCGUAAACGAUGUCUACUUGGAGGUUGUGCCCUUGAGGCGUGGCUUCCGGAGCUAACGCGUUAAGUAGACCGCCUGGGGAGUACGGCCGCAAGGUUAAAACUCAAAUGAAUUGACGGGGGCCCGCACAAGCGGUGGAGCAUGUGGUUUAAUUCGAUGCAACGCGAAGAACCUUACCUGGUCUUGACAUCCACAGAACUUUCCAGAGAUGGAUUGGUGCCUUCGGGAACUGUGAGACAGGUGCUGCAUGGCUGUCGUCAGCUCGUGUUGUGAAAUGUUGGGUUAAGUCCCGCAACGAGCGCAACCCUUAUCCUUUGUUGCCAGCGGUCCGGCCGGGAACUCAAAGGAGACUGCCAGUGAUAAACUGGAGGAAGGUGGGGAUGACGUCAAGUCAUCAUGGCCCUUACGACCAGGGCUACACACGUGCUACAAUGGCGCAUACAAAGAGAAGCGACCUCGCGAGAGCAAGCGGACCUCAUAAAGUGCGUCGUAGUCCGGAUUGGAGUCUGCAACUCGACUCCAUGAAGUCGGAAUCGCUAGUAAUCGUGGAUCAGAAUGCCACGGUGAAUACGUUCCCGGGCCUUGUACACACCGCCCGUCACACCAUGGGAGUGGGUUGCAAAAGAAGUAGGUAGCUUAACCUUCGGGAGGGCGCUUACCACUUUGUGAUUCAUGACUGGGGUGAAGUCGUAACAAGGUAACCGUAGGGGAACCUGCGGUUGGA